ACAUGCCAGCUUCAUAAAGCGCAGCUGCUUUUCUUGCUACGUCGGCCUCGGCCAUAGUAGCGUUCUCUCUUCUUGAAAUCAGGUUUCUUUGUGUAGCAGGCACCGGUUGUUACGCUGCUUCAACCGGUCUGUGUCUAACGAUGCGGUUGUUAGGCUGCUUCAAACCGGUCUGUAUCAACUGCAUCUACAGUCUUGUCGUGCUACGUCCGCUAUCGAUCAUUCGAUGCAUAUCUCCUUCUCAGUAAAAUUAUAGGAACAAAAAGGACGCAUUUUCUUUUCUUUUUUUUUUGUCUCUCAGGAGUACUUCGACAAGUGAAGCUCGUGGAUAGCAUUGCCUUGCUUCGUCGUAGUUGACAGUUGACACCUAUACUCCUACGUGCCGACUCGAGUCCCCGUCCAGGCGUCUAUGGAAAGUGAUCAGUCAUCGCUCACAUGCGAUCGCGGCCGUCAGCGUCAUGGCCCCCGUCCCUGCCGGCCUCAACUCGGCGCAG
Molecule: long non-coding RNA, 491 nt
Filed under: Zea mays
Lineage: Eukaryota; Viridiplantae; Streptophyta; Magnoliopsida; Poales; Poaceae
Description: long non-coding RNA (ZMAY_LNC004959)
Source: RNAcentral